RNAcentral lists this ribosomal RNA (465 nucleotides) under uncultured bacterium. RNAcentral's name for it is "partial 16S ribosomal RNA". It matches the Rfam family "Bacterial small subunit ribosomal RNA", at positions 338 to 795 of the family's 1533-position model. The record is from RNAcentral.
CCUACGGGUGGCAGCAGUAGGGAAUAUUCCACAAUGGGCGAAAGCCUGAUGGAGCAACGCCGCGUGGGGGAAGAAGGUCUUCGGAUCGUAAAACCUUGUUGAUAGAGAAGAAAGUGCGUGAGCGUAACUGUUCACGUUUCGACGGUAUCUAAACAGAAAGCCACGGCUAACUACGUGCCAGCAGGCGCGGUAAUACGUAGGUGGCAAGCGUUAUCCGGAUUUAUUGGGCGUAAGGGGAACGGAGGCGGUCUUUUAAGUCUGAUGUGGAAGUCUUCGGCUUAACCGGAGUAGUGCAUUGGAAACUGGCAGACUUGAGUGCAGAAGAGGUGGGUGGAACUCCAUGUGUAGCGGUGAAAUGCGUAGAUAUAUCGAAGAACACCAGUGGCGAAAGCGGCUCUCUAGUCUGUAACUGACGCUGAUGUUCGAAAGCGUGGGUAGCAAACAGGAUUAGAUACCCGUGUAGUC